AUUGAACGCUGGCGGCAUGCCUUACACAUGCAAGUCGAACGGCAGCGCGGGGCAACCUGGCGGCGAGUGGCGAACGGGUGAGUAAUAUAUCGGAACAUACCCUAGAGUGGGGGAUAACGUAGCGAAAGUUACGCUAAUACCGCAUACGCACUAAGGUGGAAAGUGGGGGAUUCGCAAGAACCUCAUGCUCAUGGAGUGGCCGAUAUCUGAUUAGCUAGUUGGUGAGGUAAAGGCUCACCAAGGCGACGAUCAGUAGCUGGUUUGAGAGAACGACCAGCCACACUGGAACUGAGACACGGUCCAGACUCCUACGGGAGGCAGCAGUGGGGGAAUUUUGGACAAUGGGGGCAAGCCUGAUCCAGCAAUGCCGCGUGCAGGAUGAAGG
RNAcentral lists this ribosomal RNA (385 nucleotides) under uncultured bacterium. RNAcentral describes it as "bacterial SSU rRNA". It matches the Rfam family "Bacterial small subunit ribosomal RNA", at positions 30 to 414 of the family's 1533-position model. The record is from RNAcentral.